AUUGAACGCUGGCGGCAUGCCUUACACAUGCAAGUCGAACGGCAGCGGACCUUCGGGUGCCGGCGAGUGGCGAACGGGUGAGUAAUAUAUCGGAACGUACCUUUCAGUGGGGGAUAACGUAGCGAAAGUUACGCUAAUACCGCAUAUUCUGUGAGCAGGAAAGCAGGGGAUCGCAAGACCUUGCGCUGAUUGAGCGGCCGAUAUCAGAUUAGCUAGUUGGUGAGGUAAAGGCUCACCAAGGCGACGAUCUGUAGCGGGUCUGAGAGGAUGAUCCGCCACACUGGAACUGAGACACGGUCCAGACUCCUACGGGAGGCAGCAGUGGGGAAUUUGGACAAUGGCGCAAGCCUGAUCCAGCCAUGCCGCGUGAGUGAAGAAGGCCU
This 383-nucleotide ribosomal RNA is filed under the name uncultured bacterium. Its description in RNAcentral is "bacterial SSU rRNA". It matches the Rfam family "Bacterial small subunit ribosomal RNA", at positions 30 to 417 of the family's 1533-position model. The record is from RNAcentral.